RNAcentral lists this ribosomal RNA (468 nucleotides) under uncultured bacterium. RNAcentral describes it as "partial 16S ribosomal RNA". It matches the Rfam family "Bacterial small subunit ribosomal RNA", at positions 28 to 507 of the family's 1533-position model. The record is from RNAcentral.
GACGAACGCUGGCGGCGUGCUUAACACAUGCAAGUCGAACGGAAAGACCCUGCUUUUUUGGCGUGCUAGAGUGGCCAGCGGAUGAGUAAGACGUAAGUAACCUGCCCGUCACUUUGGGAUAACUUCAUGAUGCUGGGGCUAGUACCUAAUAGAAGAUCGUGCUUCUUGGUGGGGGUUUGAAAGUUUCGUCGUUUGGGGAUCGACUCGCGGUUUAUCUGCUUGGUGGUGGGGUGUUGGCUUACCAAGGCGUCGCCGGGUAGCCGGCCUAAGAGGGUGACCGGCGACAUUGGGACUGAGGUACGGCAGCGACUGGUACGGUAGGCAGCAGUGCGGAAUAUUGCAGGAGGGGCGGAAGGCUGAUGAAGCAGCGUCGCGUGCGGGAUAGCGGCCUUCGGGUUGUAAACCGCUUUCGCCGGUAACGAACCGGGAGUGACGGUAAUGGGUACAGAAGGCCAGGCUAACUUCGUG